This 301-nucleotide ribosomal RNA is filed under the name uncultured bacterium. Its description in RNAcentral is "partial 16S ribosomal RNA". It matches the Rfam family "Bacterial small subunit ribosomal RNA", at positions 509 to 809 of the family's 1533-position model. The record is from RNAcentral.
CAGUAGCCGCGGUAAUACAGAGGAUGCAAGCGUUAUCCGGAAUGAUUGGGCGUAAAGGGCUCGCAGGCGGUUUCUUAAGUCUGAUGUGAAAGCCCCCGGCUCAACCGGGGAGGGUCAUUGGAAACUGGGAAACUUGAGUGCAGAAGAGGAGAGUGGAAUUCCACGUGUAGCGGUGAAAUGCGUAGAGAUGUGGAGGAACACCAGUGGCGAAGGCGACUCUCUGGUCUGUAACUGACGCUGGGGAGCGAAAGCGUGGGGAGCGAACAGGAUUAGAUACCCGUGUAGUCCCUGUCUCUUAUAA